GAUCAUGGCUCAGGAUGAACGCUGGCGGCGUGCCUAACACAUGCAAGUCGAACGGAGCUGCUUUGAUGAAGUUUUUCGGAUGGAUUUUAAAACAGCUUAGUGGCGGACGGGUGAGUAACGCGUGGGUAACCUGCCUUAUACAGGGGGAUAACAGUUGGAAACGACUGCUAAUACCGCAUAAGCGCACGGUACCGCAUGGUACAGUGUAGAAAAACUCCGGUGGUGUGAGAUGGACCCGCGUCUGAUUAGCUAGUUGGCAGGGCAACGGCCUACCAAGGCGACGAUCAGUAGCCGACCUGAGAGGGUGACCGGCCACAUUGGGACUGAGACACGGCCCAAACUCCUACGGGAGGCAGCAGGUGGGGAAUAUUGCACAAUGGGGGAAACCCUGAUGCAGCGACGCCGCGUGAGCGAAGAAGUAUUUCGGUAUGUAAAGCUCUAUCAGCAGGGAAGAAGAAAUGACGGUACCUGACUAAGAAGCACCGGCUAAAUACGUG
RNAcentral lists this ribosomal RNA (497 nucleotides) under uncultured bacterium. RNAcentral describes it as "bacterial SSU rRNA". It matches the Rfam family "Bacterial small subunit ribosomal RNA", at positions 15 to 507 of the family's 1533-position model. The record is from RNAcentral.